GGGGGCACCCUGAUCAGCCUGCCGCGGGUGUGAAGAAGGCCUUCGGGGUUGUAAAGCACUUUCAGCGUGGUGAGGAAAGGCGAGUGGCUAAUACCCGCUUGCAUGUGACGUUUCACGCAGAAGAAGGACCGGCUAACUCCGUGCCAGCAGCCGCGGUAAUACGA
RNAcentral lists this ribosomal RNA (164 nucleotides) under uncultured bacterium. RNAcentral describes it as "partial 16S ribosomal RNA". It matches the Rfam family "Bacterial small subunit ribosomal RNA", at positions 374 to 528 of the family's 1533-position model. The record is from RNAcentral.